This 253-nucleotide ribosomal RNA is filed under the name uncultured bacterium. Its description in RNAcentral is "partial 16S ribosomal RNA". It matches the Rfam family "Bacterial small subunit ribosomal RNA", at positions 524 to 776 of the family's 1533-position model. The record is from RNAcentral.
UACAGGGGGUGCAAACGUUGCUCGGAAUCAUUGGGCGUAAAGCGCGCGUAGGCGGUCGCUUAAGUCGGAUGUGAAAGCCCUCGGCUUAACUGAGGAAGUGCAUCCGAAACUGAACGGCUGGAGUACGAAAGAGGGUCGCGGAAUUCCCGGUGUAGAGGUGAAAUUCGUAGAUAUCGGGAGGAACACCGGUGGCGAAGGCGGCGACCUGGGUCGAGACUGACGCUGAGGCGCGAAAGCGUGGGGAGCAAACAGG